AUUGAACGCUGGCGGCAGGCCUAACACAUGCAAGUCGAACGGUAACAGGAAGAAGCUUGCUUCUUUGCUGACGAGUGGCGGACGGGUGAGUAAUGUCUGGGAAACUGCCUGAUGGAGGGGGAUAACUACUGGAAACGGUAGCUAAUACCGCAUAACGUCGCAAGACCAAAGAGGGGGACCUUCGGGCCUCUUGCCAUCGGAUGUGCCCAGAUGGGAUUAGCUAGUAGGUGGGGUAACGGCUCACCUAGGCGACGAUCCCUAGCUGGUCUGAGAGGAUGACCAGCCACACUGGAACUGAGACACGGUCCAGACUCCUACGGGAGGCAGCAGCGGGGAAUAUUGCACAAUGGGCGCAAGCCUGAUGCAGCCAUGCCGCGUGUAUGAAGAAGGCCUUCGGGUUGUAAAGUACUUUCAGCGGGGAGGAAGGGGGUAAAGUUAAUACCUUGGCUCAUUGACGUUACCCGCAGAAGAAGCACCGGCUAACUCCGUG
RNAcentral lists this ribosomal RNA (490 nucleotides) under uncultured bacterium. Its description in RNAcentral is "partial 16S ribosomal RNA". It matches the Rfam family "Bacterial small subunit ribosomal RNA", at positions 30 to 507 of the family's 1533-position model. The record is from RNAcentral.